GAUGGUACAGCUUAGUGGUAGAGCAUAUGCUUAGCAUGUAAGAGGUCCUGGUUUCAAUCCCCAGUACCUCCA
Molecule: transfer RNA, 72 nt
Organism: Camelus ferus (Wild Bactrian camel)
Lineage: Eukaryota; Metazoa; Chordata; Mammalia; Artiodactyla; Camelidae
Rfam family: tRNA
About the family: Transfer RNA (tRNA) molecules are approximately 80 nucleotides in length.
Source: Rfam